GGAAGUAAAAGUCGUAAUAAGGUUUCCGUAGGUGAACCUGCGGAAGGAUCAUUACAGAGUUCAUGCCCUCACGGGUAGAUCUCCCACCCUUGAAUAUUUAUACCUUAGUUGCUUUGGCAGGCCGUGGAAACACCAUGGGCUCCGGCUUAUGCGUGCCUGCCAGAGGAAACAAACUCUGUUUUUAGUGAUGUCUGAGUACUAUAUAAUAGUUAAAACUUUCAACAACGGAUCUCUUGGUUCUG
RNAcentral lists this unclassified non-coding RNA (242 nucleotides) under plant metagenome. RNAcentral describes it as "partial contains small subunit ribosomal RNA, internal transcribed spacer 1, and 5.8S ribosomal RNA". The stretch from base 1 to 54 matches the Rfam family "Eukaryotic small subunit ribosomal RNA", at positions 1778 to 1831 of the family's 1831-position model. The record is from RNAcentral.